Molecule: transfer-messenger RNA, 354 nt
Filed under: Cognatilysobacter xinjiangensis
Lineage: Bacteria; Pseudomonadati; Pseudomonadota; Gammaproteobacteria; Lysobacterales; Lysobacteraceae
Description: Lysobacter xinjiangensis Standard tmRNA
Rfam family: transfer-messenger RNA
About the family: Bacterial tmRNA, also known as 10Sa RNA or SsrA, is named for its dual tRNA and mRNA-like properties. Its role is to liberate the mRNA from a stalled ribosome.
Source: RNAcentral
GGGGGUGCACUGGCUUCGACGGGGGUUGCGAAAUCGCCUGGCGCAUGCCGAGGGGGUAGCUUUCCUCGUAAAUCCAGCUGCAAACACUUAGUUGCCAACGACGACAACUACGCUCUCGCCGCUUAAGGCGUAAGCCCCGAAACAGCUUGUGUCCGUGCUCGCUGCGUAGGGUCAUUAUCACGGAAUCGCCGGAGGGGGCCGCCUGCCCGCCGCCGGCUAAGAGUUCGCAGGCUGGUCUCCUGAUGCGCUUUGCGCGCCGUGCUGUCAGGGGACGAGAUCCAACGGCGAGCUAAGCAUGUAGUGCCGGGGAUGGAGUGCCUUCGGACGGCGGUUCGACUCCGCCCACCUCCACCA